RNAcentral lists this ribosomal RNA (301 nucleotides) under uncultured bacterium. Its description in RNAcentral is "partial 16S ribosomal RNA". It matches the Rfam family "Bacterial small subunit ribosomal RNA", at positions 509 to 807 of the family's 1533-position model. The record is from RNAcentral.
CAGCAGCCGCGGGAACACGUAGGGUGCGGGCGUUAAUCGGAAUUACUGGGCGUAAAGCGUGCGCAGGCGGUUGUGUAAGACAGGUGUGAAAUCCCCGGGCUUAACCUGGGAACUGCGCUUGUGACUGCACAGCUAGAGUAUGGCAGAGGGGGGUGGAAUUCCACGUGUAGCAGUGAAAUGCGUAGAGAUGUGGAGGAACACCGAUGGCGAAGGCAGCCCCCUGGGCCAAUACUGACGCUCAUGCACGAAAGCGUGGGGAGCAAACAGGAUUAGAUACCCCGGUAGUCCCUGUCUCUUAUAC